Molecule: long non-coding RNA, 970 nt
Filed under: Marmota monax (woodchuck)
Lineage: Eukaryota; Metazoa; Chordata; Mammalia; Rodentia; Sciuridae
Source: RNAcentral
GCUCAACUCAUCUAGGUCAGCGCAAGGUGAUCUCCGGGAGGGGGGCCGUGCAGCAUUCCCGCCCUUCCUCGCCCCGCACCCUCACCUCAUGGUUUUCGGACUGUCUGGGAACUGGUUCUCCCCUGCCAUGCUCACCUGUUCUGCCUUCCCCUAGAGGCACAAUAGCCCGAGAGAGCAGACGUGGGCGAUUAGAUUUCUCGGCGUCAGCCUGACUUUUAGGCAACCGCCCUAGACUGGAUUUGCCCGCAGUGGACUUCAGCAGUGCUUGGGCACUAGUCCAUGCCUUCGGGAUGGAGGGGAGUCGGGGUGCGGGGGGAAGAGAGGCUCUCUGAGAAGAGAGCCUUCGUUUGGUCUGCUUUGAGUGAGAGGAUACUGUAACUUCGAAAAAACUAUUGGAGGGGCAUAAUAUUAUCCGUGUGCUGUAAAAACCUGUUUACUUCUCUAAUUUUUCCCUGGGUUUCUCCUCUGAAAGCCUCAGCUCUUUACUGAAAGAGUCAGUUCUGUACUGGUCUUGCCCUCUUUCGGAAAACAGCCUUGAGAAUAGGUAGUCCCUUUCCUAACCUCCCAGGGCCUUUUAGGCUAGGAGCACCCCUAUCCCCCCCACCCCACCCGCAGACAGAAGUCAAAUCUGUUACCGUGAAACGUUUUAAGCUGUGCUCUGACAUCAACUUCCUAUGACUCUGAGGGGCACUCGGGAAAGUUUCCUUGAUUGAAGGUGAGGGAUUGGGUUCUUCUAGUUUAAUGUCGUGUUAGUUUAUGCCGAUUUGUGGAGAGCACUACAGCAGUCUAGACAUGAUUUUGUAUUUGAUCGCUCAGCUUAAUUUGUAGCCAUUUCUAGGAACUCUUUGUUAAUACUUCCUACCAUUCUUUACCAUUAAAUAUGUAGUUUAUGCUUAUGGGGACAGGAAAAAUAAAUCUGGGUGCCUUCACCUGCGAUAGACGUUUUACACAUUUUUAUAAUAAAAUCUUG